UACAGAGGGUGCGAGCGUUGUCCGGAAUCACUGGGCGUAAAGGGCGCGUAGGCGGCUUGAUAAGCGUGCGGUGAAAGCCCGGGGCUCAACCCCGGGUCGGCCGUGCGAACUGUCGAGCUGGAGCACUGUAGAGGCAGGUGGAAUUCCGGGUGUAGCGGUGGAAUGCGUAGAGAUCCGGAAGAACACCGGUGGCGAAGGCGGCCUGCUGGGCAGUGGCUGACGCUGAGGCGCGACAGCGUGAGGAGCAAACAGG
Molecule: ribosomal RNA, 253 nt
Filed under: uncultured bacterium
Lineage: Bacteria
Description: partial 16S ribosomal RNA
Rfam family: Bacterial small subunit ribosomal RNA
Source: RNAcentral